UUAUCCUGCUGGAAGAUGCCACAGCCACCAGUGAGUACUGUUUCCAUGAAAGGGUGUACAUGAUUUGCAACAAUGCUUCGGCAAGUGUGCAUCCUGAAGCCGGGUGUUCUCCAGUAAGCAACACACCAGAAAAAGAAGAAAGAAAGUGUGAUUCAUCAGACCAGGAUACCUUCUUUUAUUGCUCUGUGGUCCUGUCCUGAUGCUCGCAUGCACAUUGUUGG
Molecule: long non-coding RNA, 221 nt
Organism: Pundamilia nyererei
Lineage: Eukaryota; Metazoa; Chordata; Actinopteri; Cichliformes; Cichlidae
Exons: 2
Source: RefSeq, a predicted model, not a curated record